UGGAAUUGAAUUGCCCUGGCUGUUUCCAGGGAGACUGAAAAUGGAGGCCCCAGAAGCUUGUUUGUCAAGCCAUUUUCUGGACACCCUGGGUCACGUAAUGCUAUGCUGCGAGUGUCGCGCCUGAUCAGUCUCUGAGACUACUGGCCGAUUUGGAUUCUCAGACAUGGAUUCUAGAAUGACUGCUGGUGCCACGAAUCCCCAAAUAGAAAUUCUUCCUCCUACCCCCAUGACCAUACUAUUCUGCCUCAAACUGAGGCCAGAACCAUGGAGACAAGUGGCCACCAGUUGAAUCUUCUGGAACCGAGAGCCAAAGUAAACGAGUGUUCCCAGAAGCUGUCAAUCUUAGUUUCCAGUUCUGGGCCAAGAAUCCGUAACUUGUUCUGAAAUUUACUGAACGUAUUCGUCAUUGCUACUUUCAAGCCUGAACACUGGCCAUCUCUGAGUCACCAUGGACUUGUUGUUGUUGUCUAAUUUCCUCUUGGUUUCUACUUCUGACCUUCAUUUUUGAGCAACUCAAUGGGAUAUGGAAAGCCCAGGAUGUUAACCUAUGCUGGGGAAAGGCCUGGGGUUCACCUAGUUCAAUUUCAAGCCUUUGUUCUUGGGUUUGAAACAUCUUGGCUCUUGUUCAUGAAUCAGUUCCAGAACACACAGCUCUAAAUUGAUGCCUUCCUCCUGCUGCUCUUCAAGAAGGGGAAGGAAGUGACCUGAACCAGUCUGGACUUGCACAGCUUGAAGUUGACCCUUGCCUAUCAUAUUUGUUGUUUGUGUGUUCUCUUUCUAUUCUUUCUCACUGUUAGGGAGAGGAGUGUCUAGUGCCAGCCCAUUUCUGGGAUGCUCUUUUCCUGAACCCUGUGUAGUGAUAUCCUCCAAAUUAAAACAUUUUCAUUCAGAAGAGGAAACUCCUAAGACUUAGAGUUUUAGGAAGCAAACCAACUCACAAGUCUCAGGAAGUCUCUGAAACUCACUAAAUUCAUAAGAUCAUUCUUCUCUAAAGUUAUAGAAGGAGUGAGAAUAGAUAAAGAAGGAAGACACCAUCUGAGGUGUGGGACUUCCUGCAAGUCAUGCAGAGAGCCCUAGCCUUACAGCUUUCAUGAGUCAGCAACCACGCUGGGGAGGAUGUUUUGAUGGUGCCUCUGCCUUUAAGUUAGCCAUACUCCUGGAAGUAACUCCUCACCCAUAUUCAUAUUAGUAACUCCAGUAAAACACAUUGGGUUUCCCAAAUGUAUUUUGGUGGUACUAACAUUGAUCUGCCAUCAGUGACUUAUCUGGGGUGAGUAGAUAUUGCUCACAUCUCCCCAGGAAGUUACACAGCAUUGGGUCACAGCACUUCCUGGACCCUGUGUGGCAUCCAGCAUGCAGGCUGUGACACAUACUCCUUGGCAGCCUAAGGCCACCUCCUCCACCUCACCCAGAGCCAUGCAGCACUCUGCCCAGCUUAAACUUUGCUGCGUGUUUUGCAAAUCAGCAUCUUCUUCCAAUAAAAAAAAAGCCAUGGCAAGGUUUUGGCUUUCCUUCCUGAGCUGGCCUUUUAAUCUUGAGCCUUGGCUUCUCAUGCCCCUACUAGCCUAGCUGCUCUAAGAUGUCUGCCUGUUAGAGUAGGUGUGUCACUGUAGGUGUGGGCUUUAAGACCCUCAUCCUAGCUGUCUGGAGGUCAGUAUUCUGCUAGCAGCCUUCAGAUGAAGAUGCAGAACUCUCAGCUCUGCCUGCACCAUGACUGCCUGGAUGCUGCCAUGUUCCCAACUUGAUGGUAAUGGGCUGAUCCUCUGAGCCUGUAAACCAGCCCUAAUUAAAUCUUGUCCUUAUGAGAGUUGCCUUGGUCAUGGUGUCUGUUCUCAGCAGUAAAAUCCUAACUGAGACAUGGUGUCUGCCAUGUUCCCACCUUGAUGAUAAUGGACUGAACCUCUGAAUCUGUAAUCCAGCCCCAAUUAAAUGUUGUCCUAAUGAG
Long non-coding RNA from Mus musculus (house mouse), 1945 nucleotides. RefSeq annotates it as predicted gene, 42359. NCBI's taxonomy places the organism in Eukaryota, Metazoa, Chordata, Mammalia, Rodentia, Muridae. The transcript is spliced from 3 exons. The record is from RefSeq and is a predicted model, not a curated record.